Molecule: long non-coding RNA, 1458 nt
Organism: Lolium rigidum
Lineage: Eukaryota; Viridiplantae; Streptophyta; Magnoliopsida; Poales; Poaceae
Exons: 5
Source: RefSeq, a predicted model, not a curated record
UAUGGAAUUUGAUUUAUGUUGUUGAUGUGCCCUCAGAUUGGGUGAUACCGUGAUAUAGAUACAUAGAAAAUCAUUUUUAGAAUGUUCAUAGCUGAGAAUCUAAAAGCUCCUGUUGCAGUUUGUGGAGAUCACCAACUGCUGGCAGCUGCUCUUAGUGUUUGAUCUAAAAACAGUCUGAAUACAUUUUAUGUUUACAAAAAUAGUGAGUUCCAUGUAUUAUGAACAUUAGCAAACCAAAUGAGUGUAGCAAGCUACCUUGAAGGGCUGACGAUAAUUAGUUAUUCAACCAUGUCCAACGCCUUUUUUUGGUCAUGUGACCGUGAGGAUGGAGGGGUCGGUUCCCGUGCCCGCGGUUAUUGAUCUGUUGUUCACUUUGGAGAUUGCCUUGCCGAUUUACAGAAGACUUGCUGCUUUACCAGCAUGUGAAGGAUUUAUUCAGUUUCUUACUCUUGUGAUCAUAGAGUCCAAUCACUACACAUCCCAUUAGGCAUAGCCUUUAUUUUUAGUUGUGUUGAAAUUCCUCUGUGAUCCAAGAUCUCAUUUAGGUUGUUCGGAGAUAAUGUUUCAUUUUUCUAACAGUGUUGUUGUGGGAGCAAGAAACAUAACUGUCGUGAUAUUCAGAAAAAUAUAUAUUCUAUGUUGUUCUGUUUCUACAGGAUAACAGCUCAGGAUCUCACAUGUACUUAUUUCCUAUGUGCAUAGGGAAGCUGAGCCUUGGUCUUCUACCUUCAUCAAGCAUGCGCCUUACCUUUUCCGAUGAGGAGCAGCUAGCGCUCUUAAACAAUGGCUAUGAAGUUUUGGAUGCUGGGAUUGUGGAAAUAUGAAUUGAUAAUUCUAAAUGUUCUUUCUCGAUCAGGACUGUGGAAUCUAAAAUAUUUUACGAUUUCUGUGCUUAGAGUCGAACAAAUGUGGAAUGGAGCUUCUUGCAAAGAUGGUAAUCCCUGACUUAUAGUAUAUAUGGUCUGUUGCUACAUGUGACUAUGGUUAUCUUUUCAGAGCAAGCUGUGUCUACAAACCGUUUGUUGAAGGGAAAAUAAAUAUACAUUUACCAGUAGGCAGAUGUGUGCUCCAUUACCAUCUAUGGAGCUGCUGGAUAAUGUGUACUCUGCACUUGAAACAACCAAGCAGCCUGUAUCCUCUACCAAAUCUGUGCGGUUGAUUUUGUUGGCAGUCGGUAGUGGUUUUAUUGAUGAUCUAUGCAAGCCUAAGAGUUCAACCGAAGCUUACACCAGCUGAGAUAUGAUUAUUCUUACAUAGAUGUUAAUCUUAGAAGAGUGGGACCUUCCAAUCUUCAAUAUAGAGCUUCUUUCAACUGAUUGGCUGUUCUGAAUUAUGUUAGCUGAGCUCUUGUGCAAAAUGCAAGUGCAAUAAGUUUAGGCUGCACGACCUGUAAUGUACCUGUAGAUGUAGUCAUAUUUUUGGACGUUCAAGCAUAGUUUCUUUGGCUCAGCUGAGAGA